This 473-nucleotide ribosomal RNA is filed under the name uncultured bacterium. RNAcentral's name for it is "bacterial SSU rRNA". It matches the Rfam family "Bacterial small subunit ribosomal RNA", at positions 9 to 507 of the family's 1533-position model. The record is from RNAcentral.
AGUAGUUUGAUCAGUGGCUCGAGGACGAACGCUGGCGGCAUGCCUAACACAUGCAAGUCUAGGGGGUAGCAAUACCACUGGCGCACGGGUGAGUAACACGUAGGUUAUCUGCCCCCAUCACAGACAUAACCCCGGGAAACCGGGGCUAAUAUCUGAUGAGGUCGCGAGAUCAAAGCUUCGGCGGAUGGGGAUGAGCCUGCGGCUGAUUAGCUAGUUGGUGAGGUAAUGGCUCACCAAGGCGACGAUCAGUAGCUGGUCUGAGAGGACGAACAGCCACACUGGAACUGAGACACGGUCCAGACUCCUACGGGAGGCAGCAGUGAGGAAUAUUGGUCAAUGGGAGCAAUCCUGAACCAGCAAUGCCGCGUGUGGGAUGACAGGGCUUCGCCUUGUAAACCACUGUCGGACGGGACGAAAGGAGGCCUCGGGCCUCUGGGACGGUACCGUCAAAGGAAGGGUCGGCUAACUACGUG